RNAcentral lists this unclassified non-coding RNA (98 nucleotides) under Flavobacterium saccharophilum. Its description in RNAcentral is "Flavo-1 RNA". The record is from RNAcentral. Lineage: Bacteria; Pseudomonadati; Bacteroidota; Flavobacteriia; Flavobacteriales; Flavobacteriaceae.
UUGAAACCGAUACCGCGUGAGGGAUAGAAGUGGAUAGCCCACAGACCAUGAGUGAUAACGAAUAGGUCGAGGACUUGUAACGGAUAGCCCGGCCCUUG